UUAAUUUCAUAUAGGUCCCUACAAAUAUAGUAAAUAAAAAAUAUAUUUCUACAAAGUUCAACUUUUAUAUGUUAUUUCUGUAAAAGUUCUGAUGUUUCCAACUGUGUCUAUAACGUUAGAAUUCGUUAGAAAAUUUUAGUUAACUAUAUGAAAAAUACUUUACCCUGAUUAAGUUUUUGAUAUUUUUACCUCUCUUAUAUUAUACUGUUAUAUAGCUUUUGGAGGAACUUAUUUGUGAUGGCAAAAUUGAAAAUAUAAAUGGUUUUUAACUGUUCUUUAACGGUAAUAAAAUACACUAAUAUAUUUGAAAAUAUUAGAUUUACGUAGGAACAAAAUAUAAAAGUUGAACUUUAUACGGAUGAA
Molecule: long non-coding RNA, 363 nt
Filed under: Ananas comosus (pineapple)
Lineage: Eukaryota; Viridiplantae; Streptophyta; Magnoliopsida; Poales; Bromeliaceae
Description: long non-coding RNA (ACOM_LNC031851)
Source: RNAcentral